GUGGCUUCGCGGCUGUGGAAGGAUGCCCGGGCUGGCGCCGCUGGGCAGAGCUGGUGCGAAGUUUCCCUUUCCAACCUUGUUCUUCCGGCCUUGCUGUCUGCCUCCCGGGCUGAUUGGAUUCGUUACUGCUUUGCAACGCGCACCUAACUCCAGACGGGGUCUCACUCUGUCGCCCAGGCUGGAGUGCAGUGGCACAAUCUCGGCUUGCUGUGACCUCAGCUCUCUGCGACCUCUGCUUCCUGGACUCAAGCGAUCCUCCCACCUCACACUCCUGAGUAGCUGGGACCACCAUAUGCACCAGCACGCCUGGCUAAGUAUUUUGUGUUUUCUUUUUUUUUAAUUUCUGGAGACAGGAUCUUGUUAUGUUGCCCAGGCUGGUCUCAAACUCUAGGACUCAAGUGAUCUGCCCCCCUUGGCCUCCCAAAGUACUGGGAUUGCAGACAUGAGCCACCGUGCCUGGCCUUUCUUUUUUUUUUUCCCCAGCUUCAGCAACAUAGUGAGACCCGUUGUGGUGCAUGCCUGUAGUCCCAGCUACUUGGGAGGCUGAGUUGGGAGUAUUGCUUGAGUGUGGAAGGUUGAGGCUGCUAUGAGCGGUGAUCGUGCCACCACACUCCAACCUAGGCAACAGAGAGAGGCCCUGUCUCAAAAAAAAAAAAAAAAAAAAUUGUUUUAGGGACAUCGUCUCACUCUUGCCCAGACUGGUCUCAAACUCCUGGGGUCCAGUCAUCCUCCUGCCUCAGCCUCCCUUAUAGGUGGGACUACACAGCACCUGGCCCUUGUGUUGUUCUUGUAACAGUUGCUCAAUGCAGAAAACUUGAAAACCACAGAAGAACAGCAGGGGGUGGGGAAUGAACAUGGAAUGAUGGCGACCUCUGUCACAUUUAAGCCAAACAACAUCCAUACUUUCGUUCCAUGGACUAAUCAUUUAUUUGCACUCAUAAAAACUGGCUUGUUUUGAAAAGCUUCCUCCAAAA
Molecule: long non-coding RNA, 974 nt
Organism: Symphalangus syndactylus (siamang)
Lineage: Eukaryota; Metazoa; Chordata; Mammalia; Primates; Hylobatidae
Source: RefSeq, a predicted model, not a curated record